Molecule: ribosomal RNA, 301 nt
Filed under: uncultured bacterium
Lineage: Bacteria
Description: partial 16S ribosomal RNA
Rfam family: Bacterial small subunit ribosomal RNA
Source: RNAcentral
CAGCAGCCGCGGGAACACGAAGGGUGCAAGCGUUACUCGGAAUUACUGGGCGUAAAGCGUGUGUAGGUGGUUGUUUAAGUCUGUCGUGAAAGCCCUGGGCUCAACCUGGGAAUUGCGAUGGAUACUGGGCGACUAGAGUGCGGUAGAGGAUAGUGGAAUUUCCGGUGUAGCAGUGAAAUGCGUAGAGAUCGGAAGGAACAUCUGUGGCGAAGGCGACUAUCUGGGCCAACACUGACACUGAGACACGAAAGCGUGGGGAGCAAACAGGAUUAGAUACCCCAGUAGUCCCUGUCUCUUAUAC